GUAUUGGAAGAUACCGUUAAUCCGCGUUGUCAAACGAUGUGUCUCAAAUUCACGUGUGUGUGUGUGUGUGUGAGUUGAUAGUUUGCCAGUUGGUUAUAUAGUUCAUUGGAAAUAAAUACGCGUGUAUAUUGGAUAAGUGCAAUGACCCAUCCUACGUAAGGAGACACAAGACGUCAUUUGUAUUCCACUUAGAUAUAUUUUCGAUGGCAUCAUUUUGAGACAAUUUUCUGGACAUCUCACCGCGUU
Molecule: long non-coding RNA, 246 nt
Organism: Polistes dominula (European paper wasp)
Lineage: Eukaryota; Metazoa; Arthropoda; Insecta; Hymenoptera; Vespidae
Source: RefSeq, a predicted model, not a curated record